UUCAAGCGCAGGCAUGAGUUUCUGUGUCCAACUUUGAUCGUAUGUCUUAUUUAAAAUAUUUUUAUAAUUAUUACUUCUGUUGUUAUUAGGUGAUAAAACAUUAAUAGUACUUUAUAUAUGAAUUAUGUUUUUUAUCUUUUAAAAAGAUUUUAAAUAAAACGGACUAUUAAAGUUGUAUAGGGAAACUUAUCAUUCGUAUUUAAA
Molecule: microRNA precursor, 204 nt
Organism: Oryza sativa Indica Group (long-grained rice)
Lineage: Eukaryota; Viridiplantae; Streptophyta; Magnoliopsida; Poales; Poaceae
Rfam family: MIR812 microRNA precursor family
Source: Rfam